AUCUCUACGGAACAACUCCGGGAAACUGGAGCUAAUACCGUAUACGUCCUUUUGGAGAAAGAUUUAUCGGAGAUGGAUGAGCCCGCGUUGGAUUAGCUAGUUGGUGGGGUAAUGGCCUACCAAGGCGACGAUCCAUAGCUGGUCUGAGAGGAUGAUCAGCCACACUGGGACUGAGACACGGCCCAGACUCCUACGGGAGGCAGCAGUGGGGAAUAUUGGACAAUGGGCGCAAGCCUGAUCCAGCCAUGCCGCGUGAGUGAUGAAGGCCCUAGGGUUGUAAAGCUCUUUCAACGGUGAAGAUAAUGACGGUAACCGUAGAAGAAGCCCCGGCUAACUUCGUGCCAGCAGCCGCGGUAAUACGAAGGGGGCUAGCGUUGUUCGGAAUUACUGGGCGUAAAGCGCACGUAGGCGGAUACUUAAGUCAGGGGUGAAAUCCCGGGGCUCAACCCCGGAACUGCCUUUGAUACUGGGUAUCUCGAGUCCGGAAGAGGUGAGUGGAAUUCCGAGUGUAGAGGUGAAAUUCGUAGAUAUUCGGAGGAACACCAGUGGCGAAGGCGGCUCACU
Molecule: ribosomal RNA, 564 nt
Filed under: Mesorhizobium sp.
Lineage: Bacteria; Pseudomonadati; Pseudomonadota; Alphaproteobacteria; Hyphomicrobiales; Phyllobacteriaceae
Description: bacterial SSU rRNA
Rfam family: Bacterial small subunit ribosomal RNA
Source: RNAcentral